This 434-nucleotide ribosomal RNA is filed under the name uncultured Lachnospiraceae bacterium. RNAcentral describes it as "bacterial SSU rRNA". It matches the Rfam family "Bacterial small subunit ribosomal RNA", at positions 341 to 792 of the family's 1533-position model. The record is from RNAcentral. Lineage: Bacteria; Bacillati; Bacillota; Clostridia; Lachnospirales; Lachnospiraceae.
ACGGGAGGCAGCAGUGGGGAAUAUUGGACAAUGGGGGAAACCCUGAUCCAGCGACGCCGCGUGAGUGAAGAAGUAUUUCGGUAUGUAAAGCUCUAUCAGCAAGGAAGAAAAUGACGGUACUUGGCUAAGAAGCCCCGGCUAACUACGUGCCAGCAGCCGCGGUAAUACGUAGGGGGCAAGCGUUAUCCGGAUUUACUGGGUGUAAAGGGAGCGUAGACGGCAUAGCAAGUCUGAAGUGAAAUGCAUGGGCUCAACCCAUGAACUGCUUUGGAAACUGUUAAGCUAGAGUGCAGGAGAGGUAAGUGGAAUUCCUAGUGUAGCGGUGAAAUGCGUAGAUAUUAGGAGGAACACCAGUGGCGAAGGCGGCUUACUGGACUGUAACUGACGUUGAGGCUCGAAAGCGUGGGGAGCAAACAGGAUUAGAUACCCUGGUA